UUCCUUCUUGUCUUUGGAAGGAGAGAGAUUUCCAUAUACAACUUAUACGGUGUAAAACUUAAGCUUCCUCCUCAGCCUGGACAAAUUUUGUGAUAGACAGACAUCAUCUUACUGGCUCCUUCUGUCCAUAGCAGCCACAGCUUCCUCCCAGCCACAGCUCUGAGUCUUCUUGAGAGUCUGCCUCUCUCACAGGAAGUGUCCCACUGCCUCACAAGCAGACAGCAUUAAAGAGACAACGUGUUCUCAGAUAAAAUGUUCCAAAUAUAACAAGUCUAUUUUUAUUAAAUUUUACCAAAGGCCUCCCCGCUUCCUAAUCAGAAAGCCUGAUUUGCUAACUCCUGCAGACCUAGCUGCACUGUCUCGCUACAGCUGUAUCGUGAGAUAGAAUUACAUUUUCAUAAUGACUCAAAUCUUUUCCCAAGUCCUUAAGUAUUUUCACAAAAAGGAAAAAAAUAAGGAAAGGAGGAAAAAGGAAAAAAAAAAGAAAGAAAAACCCCACACACCCUCCCGUAAAAUCCAGACACCAACCCUGAGUUGUGUGUGGUCUUUUUUUGUCUUUUCUUUUGGCGUCCCUCAAGACACAGCUUAUUGCAUUGGUCUGGAUAGCGUCCUACCAGCACAGUGAGCUGGCCAAGCCCUGAUCCCAACAACAAAGUCACCUUUGCAGGUGCCAAAGUAAACGGCAGCCUCCAGCUACCUGUACCCACUGCUGACGCUGGGCUGUGCGUGUGCAGGAUGCAUGGCCGGAAAGGCAGUGCCUUCGCCCUCCAUCCCUUUGAUGUGCAUCAGUCUUUGGACUUUGUCUUUUUUUAUUCAGGGCACUGCAACCUGGAGAGCUAUAUGUAAAUGCCCUUUAUUUGGAGAAGUGUGAAGUUGUACAAAGAGAACUGGCUAUAAAAUGGACAGAGGAUGAAAAAUGUGUGUGCGCUAUAGGGAAGCUGUAUAUGUGCAAUCUUGGUUCCUACUUUCUAUAUUUGUGGGUAACUUUAGCUCAUAUAAGUGUAUGUGUGAGUGUGUCCUCAUGUAUACAGUGUACGGGUUGUGUGCCUGCAGGAUUUCAUCAAAUGGACCCAUUUCUAAUGUCAGCUGUGCUGCUCACAACUGGAGGAGCUCCUCUGGCAGCCAGUCCAAAGCCUUUUGAUCACACUGUUUCCAUUGGAUUUACAAGGUGCAGCUAAAAUCGGGAGCCUUUUAAAGUCAUGAAUGACAUAAAAGGAAAGCCCCAGAUCACUUCCUAAUCAGAUUGAACUUACAGCAUUUCUUGUGGAGAGAAAACUCUACAGUAAGUUUUUGCUGGACUCCAGGAGCUGCAAGACUUUUCUCCUGGCCCACCCUCAGCUCCUUCAUGAGGAAGCAGAGUCACCCUGGCAAGUGGAGGCAGUUAGCUUCAGUUAUGUCACAGGCAAACUUGGAGUUGUUUUCAGCCCUUCUUCCUGCUCAUUUGCUGACCUCUUCACACUUUCAGUGAAGGAGUGAACCCUGCAGAGUAGCUUUAGGCCACUGGAUUUUGGUUGGUCUCUGUGGCUCUUGACGGUAAAAUGCACGUGUUGAUCGCAGGUUGAAACCUCCUGACUUGAGAGCAGACACCUCACUCCCAAGCCUUGUCGUAUGGAUUUUCUUGCAACAGGAGUGAAGAAAUACAUGAUCCAGGAAUCCUAUGUCUUUGUUAGCAUUGCCACAUGUGGUAGCUUUGCCUUUUGGGACUUUCUCCACGAGGGACCAGGAAUCAGCAUAGCUUCAGCUAAAUCAACUAAAAAACAGAUUUCUUGAUGCCAAGAGGAUCAACACGGUGUCCUUUGAAUUACCAGAUGAAUUUCUUACCCAGAAUAUACCGUCUGGGCUUGGAAAACCUACUUUCAAAAUCCAGUCAGCUCCUCUCCUCUCCUCAGCUACAUUUCUCCUCACCAUUGUCUAAUCCACCCAUGUUCAGGGCACCAGAGACUGCUCUUGUUCCUCCCCUGCCUGCACUCCCCACAUUCUCAUCUGCUGCAUGUGUGCAACGCUCACUCAUGACCCCAUACUGGCUCUCCUUUAUCCCUUGGAGCUGAUUGAAACUCCUCUGGCACCUAGUAGGAGUGGGUAUGUUUGGUGGUCUCACCACACCAGCGUGGUACCCACCAUGCUGCAUUGCGGGGCCCACAAUCACUGCCCACUGGCAUGUUGUUGUAUGUGCAGGUUUGCAGACUCAAUGGUAAUUAAAACCAGUCCCUCUGACCCUGACCCUGAGUAGAUUAAGCUUAGAUCCUGCCUGCCUGCAAAUGUACUUGUAUAAAGCAAGGAGUUGAGGUGAGGAGAAGAGAAUAUGGUGAAUCUUUCAAGGAUCAGCAUUUUAAACUGCAAGCCCUUUUGUUCUGUAAUCUGGGAUAUUCCCUAGCAGUCCACAUGGAGAAGAAAAGGGGCAUUGUCUGGCAAGUGGCUUCAUUACUAAUCUCUCCUGGAUGCAUUUUAAUUCAUUUUAAUGACUCUGCCUCCUGUCAGACCUUUCAUUUGUUAAAGGGGUUUGUUAAAGAGAUUAAGUGCAAGGGGAAUUUGAACCUCAAAACACUACAUCCCUUCCCCCCUCUCCCAACUCCUCUCUCUCCUCCCAAGAUUAAUAUUACACCGAAAGGAAGAGAAAAGACAUUUUCUGUGAAACACAUUACAAGACUUUUAGGAAGAGAGGGAAGGAGGAGGAGCAAUGGAGCAUGCUGGACUCUUAACCCAUGGAGGAGCUGGAUGCUGGUAGUAUUGAUGUUACGCUUUUCCAGCUACAUUGUUCCCCAUGCAUAUGUCUAUUAAAGCUUUGUGCAAACACAGCUGUUUAUUAGGAAUGCCAGCUUAGGGAAAUAAACCAUCUGCCUCAAUUUGGUUCUACUUCUGUCUUCUACUCAUGUGGGAGCUUGGAAUAACCUCCCCCACCCCUGAAAAACAAAUGUACCAUGCAGUACAUAUACUGCAUAGAAAUCCAGGCCUUCAGCCAGCUGAAGAAAUGAGAGAACUUCUUGGUUUCCUGCAUCAACUUCCUACCCAAGGAUCUCAAAGCCCUUUGCACAGUGUGGGAAGUGGCAAGGUCAACAGAAUCCCUGUGUGGAACCAUGAGUUUAUUUUCAAAGUUCACGGUCUCAAUAGACAUCCUUUGAGACAUGUGUUUCAUGGAUUUACUAGAAAAAUUCCCUCAGCUAGGUCAGUGGACUAUUUCAGUCCUUCUCUCAGUCCACAAGUCCUGAAAGCAAUUUUUUAUAGCCCUAUGGACUCUUAAUCUCCUUAGGACUGAACAGGCCUCAGAAGUUCAUGAAAAGGAUAACAGAAUGAGUUGCCAUGCAGUAGCAGAGUGGUGGGUUCUGGUCAAGAAGAUGUCUGUCUUCCCUACAUCCCUCGAUGUUCCUCUAAUGGCCAAUUGGUACAUGGUACAAUGUGAGUA
This is a long non-coding RNA of Oxyura jamaicensis (ruddy duck), 3400 nucleotides long. RefSeq lists it as uncharacterized. The record is from RefSeq and is a predicted model, not a curated record. NCBI's taxonomy places the organism in Eukaryota, Metazoa, Chordata, Aves, Anseriformes, Anatidae. The transcript has 3 exons.